CAGUGCAGUCACCCAUAAAGUAGAAAGCACUACUAACAGCACUGGAGGGUGUAGUGUUUCCUACUUUAUGGAUGAGUGUACUGU
Non-coding RNA from Artibeus jamaicensis (Jamaican fruit-eating bat), 84 nucleotides. The record is from Rfam. NCBI's taxonomy places the organism in Eukaryota, Metazoa, Chordata, Mammalia, Chiroptera, Phyllostomidae.